Molecule: long non-coding RNA, 1574 nt
Filed under: Solanum tuberosum (potato)
Lineage: Eukaryota; Viridiplantae; Streptophyta; Magnoliopsida; Solanales; Solanaceae
Description: long non-coding RNA (STUB_LNC000604)
Source: RNAcentral
UUGGAUCGGACCUUAAAAUAAAUAUUUUUAUAAGCUUAAAUAUUUGAUCUAUAAAUAACAAUGUUUUUAUAGGCAAGAAUAGUAUAUAUAUUUGUAGUUCGAUACAAACUGUACAAAAUAGGUCAAAAAUUAAAGUGACCAAGAGACAAAAUAAUACAAGAUAGAGAUAAUGAUAGUUUAUGUACACUCAAUAAUAAUAUUGUAAUCAUCAUUUUUGAGAAAUCUUUUCACAAUAUCUAGGCAUGGUUGCAAAACAGUAUUCCUCCAUGCUUCGUCAAGAACUUCUUUUCUAUCUUCUUUGAAAACAUCAGUAACAAUAAUAUGAUGCACCGACCACAUUUUCUCAUUUAUUAAUCGUUGAAUCUUGUAAACAUUGUAAAGAAAGCCUUCACUACGAAGCAAGCUCACUUGUAAAAACUCCCUUAAAUAUAUUUGCAUUUUAGAAACCUAAUGGAGCAACUAGAUAAUUCAGAUAUCAUGGAGAAGCAAGAGGCAAAGGUAUAUUGUUUAUUAAUAUGCAGAACUAAAUUCAUAUAUUCCUGAAUAUCAUAAAUAUGAUUGAAUAAGUUUAUGCUAGUUAUUAUGUAUUAGAAUUAUACGAAAUCAUGCUUUCUAGUUUUGGGGGUGCUAAAUUCAUAUGGUAAUUUUGAACUUUUACCUUUGAUUGUAAUUCUUAUUGUAAUAUUAUUUUGCUAGUUGUUUUAAUCUGAAUAUUUCUUUAACAUUAUUUGAGAUAUAUUCUAGGUAUAAUACAUCUUGGGUUCUUAGGUACAUAUAUAAAUUGUUUUCCAUUAAUUGUUCUAUUAGUUUUAUAUCGUUUAUAGCUUCUGUCCAAUAUUGUAAAUAUUUAUAAUUCAUUUCUUAAUCUGAAUAUUCCGUUUCUAAAUCAUAUAAUUCUAUUCUUUUAGUAUCUAGCUAUAGAUCCUGUAAAUCUAUUUCAUACCAUGUUUGGUUUUCUAGUUCCAUUUCAUUAAAUAUCUUUUUCCAUAUUAUUUCUCUUAAUUCGAUAAUUUUUAUAUCUUUGAGUACAUAUAAAAUUAAUGUUUCGUAGCUUCUUAUCAUUUCAUCAUGUAUAAAUGUAUUCAUGUUCUUGUUAUUCACAGUUUUUAUCAAUUAUUCCUUCCUAUCAUAUCAUGACUGAAUAGGAUUAUAUUAAAUCAUUAUGAACUAGAAUAUCCGCUUAUCAUGUUCUCCUGUCACUAUUAGCAUCGUACUUUAGCAGAUACUUUCUUCCUAAACAGCGCCUCAACUGUGUUUACUCCCCUAUCACGGCUUCUCUUGCCUUUCUGGUUUCAAAUUUAGGAUGGCAUAGUUAUGGAAGGUUUCUCGCUUUUCCUGUUUGCUAAUAAACUAGAAAGCAUGAUUUCGUAUAAUUCUAAUACAUAAUAACUAGCAUAAACUAAUUCAAUCAUAUUUAUGAUAUUCAGGAAUAUAUGAAUUUAGUUCUGCAUAUUUAAUAAACAAUAUACCUUUGCCUCUUGCUUCUCCAUGAUAUCUGAUUUAUCUAGUUGCUCCAUUAGGUUUCUAAAAUGCAAAUAUAUUUAAGAGCGUUUUUCAAAUGAGCUUGCUUCGUA